This 379-nucleotide unclassified non-coding RNA is filed under the name soil metagenome. RNAcentral's name for it is "partial contains 5.8S ribosomal RNA, internal transcribed spacer 2, and large subunit ribosomal RNA". The stretch from base 1 to 120 matches the Rfam family "5.8S ribosomal RNA", at positions 35 to 154 of the family's 154-position model. The record is from RNAcentral.
GAUGAAGAACGUAGUGAAAUGCGAUAAGUAAUGUGAAUUGCAGAAUUCAGUGAAUCAUCGAAUCUUUGAACGCACCUUGCACCCUUUGGUAUUCCGAAGGGUAUGCUCGUUUGAGUGUCAUUGUACUCUCACACUUCCAAUCUUUGGAUUGGGGGCGGUGGACUUGGGUGUUGCUGCUUACUGUGGCUCACCUCAAAUUGAUUCGUGCACCUCUUGGUUGGACAUAGUACGGCGUGAUAAGUGUCUUCGCCGGCACCUCAGUAGAGGGUGGCUGAUCGGGAGCUCUGUGCUUCAAACCGUCCUCGGACAACAACUGACAACUUGACCUCAAAUCGAGUAGGACUACCCGCUGAACUUAAGCAUAUCAAUAAGCGGAGGA